Molecule: ribosomal RNA, 253 nt
Filed under: uncultured bacterium
Lineage: Bacteria
Description: partial 16S ribosomal RNA
Rfam family: Bacterial small subunit ribosomal RNA
Source: RNAcentral
UACGAGAGGCCCAAACGUUAUUCGGAUUUACUGGGCUUAAAGAGUUCGUAGGCGGCACGGAAAGUGGGGUGUGAAAUCCCUCGGCUCAACCGAGGAACUGCGCUCCAAACUAUCGUGCUAGAGGGGGAUAGAGGUAAGCGGAACUGAUGGUGGAGCGGUGAAAUGCGUUGAUAUCAUCAGGAACACCGGAGGCGAAGGCGGCUUACUGGGUCCUUUCUGACGCUGAGGAACGAAAGCUAGGGGAGCAAACGGG